This is a non-coding RNA of Myotis brandtii (Brandt's bat), 73 nucleotides long. The record is from Rfam. NCBI's taxonomy places the organism in Eukaryota, Metazoa, Chordata, Mammalia, Chiroptera, Vespertilionidae.
GCCUGUGUGGCUAAAAGGUUAGAGCGUCGGCCCAUGGACUGAAGGGUGGCAGGUUCAAUUCCAGUCAAGGGCA